GGGGGAAUUUUGCGCAAUGGGGGAAACCCUGACGCAGCAACGCCGCGUGAGUGAUGAAGGCCUUCGGGUCGUAAAGCUCUGUCAGAGGGGAAGAAGUGUGAGGUGGCUAAUAUCCAUUUCACUUGACGGUACCUUCAAAGGAAGCCCGGCUAACUCCGUGCCAGCAGCCGCGGUAAUACGGAGGGUGCGAGCGUUGUUCGGAAUUAUUGGGCGUAAAGCGCGUGUAGGCGGUUUUUUAAGUCUGAUGUGAAAGCCCUGGGCUCAACCCGGGAAGUGCAUUGGAAACUGGGAGACUUGAAUACGGGAGAGGGCAGUGGAAUUCCUGGUGUAGGAGUGAAAUCCGUAGAUAUCAGGAGGAACACCGGUGGCGAAGGCGGCUGCCUGGACCGAUAGUUACGACGC
This 402-nucleotide ribosomal RNA is filed under the name uncultured bacterium. Its description in RNAcentral is "bacterial SSU rRNA". It matches the Rfam family "Bacterial small subunit ribosomal RNA", at positions 355 to 749 of the family's 1533-position model. The record is from RNAcentral.